GACGAACGCUGGCGGCGUGCCUAAUACAUGCAAGUAGAACGCUGAAGAGAGGAGCUUGCUCUUCUUGGAUGAGUUGCGAACGGGUGAGUAACGCGUAGGUAACCUGCCUUGUAGCGGGGGAUAACUAUUGGAAACGAUAGCUAAUACCGCAUAACAAUGGAUGACACAUGUCAUUUAUUUGAAAGGGGCAAUUGCUCCACUACAAGAUGGACCUGCGUUGUAUUAGCUAGUAGGUGAGGUAAUGGCUCACCUAGGCGACGAUACAUAGCCGACCUGAGAGGGUGAUCGGCCACACUGGGACUGAGACACGGCCCAGACUCCUACGGGAGGCAGCAGUAGGGAAUCUUCGGCAAUGGGGGCAACACUGACCGAGCAACGCCGCGUGAGUGAAGAAGGUUUUCGGAUCGUAAAGCUCUGUUGUAAGUCAAGAACGGGUGUGAGAGUGGAAAGUUCACACUGUGACGGUAGCUUACCAGAAAGGGACGGCUAACUACGUG
Molecule: ribosomal RNA, 497 nt
Filed under: uncultured bacterium
Lineage: Bacteria
Description: partial 16S ribosomal RNA
Rfam family: Bacterial small subunit ribosomal RNA
Source: RNAcentral